This 68-nucleotide small RNA is filed under the name Streptomyces sp. MMG1121. Its description in RNAcentral is "ASdes TB sRNA". It matches the Rfam family "ASdes TB sRNA". Lineage: Bacteria; Bacillati; Actinomycetota; Actinomycetes; Kitasatosporales; Streptomycetaceae. The record is from Rfam by way of RNAcentral.
AAGGCCACAGGGUCAGCCGCGCGGGUGACCAUCAAAUAGUCACGGAUGGCCAUUCCGUGGCGCCCUUC